UCAAACUUGGUCAUUUAGAGGAAGUAAAAGUCGUAACAAGGUUUCCGUAGGUGAACCUGCGGAAGGAUCAUUAAUGAAUUCUAAUGCUGGGGUUGUAGCUGGCCUUUCAAUCGAGAGGUAUUGUGCACGCCUUGGUUAUUCCAAUUCUUACACCUCUGUGCACUUUACAUAGAAAGAUUUAUUAGUUGAGUGAAAGGGUCGACUCUUCGGAGUUGAACCAAGUAAUUCGACUGGUAAGCUCUCUGUGGUUCAAUACAUUUAUACCAGUCAGUUCAGAAUGUAACCCUGCGUACAACGCAAACUAUUAUAUACAACUUUCAGCAACGGAUCUCUUGGCUCUCGCAUCGAUGAAGAACGCAGC
RNAcentral lists this unclassified non-coding RNA (361 nucleotides) under uncultured fungus. RNAcentral's name for it is "partial contains small subunit ribosomal RNA, internal transcribed spacer 1, and 5.8S ribosomal RNA". The stretch from base 1 to 73 matches the Rfam family "Eukaryotic small subunit ribosomal RNA", at positions 1759 to 1831 of the family's 1831-position model. The record is from RNAcentral. Lineage: Eukaryota; Fungi.